ACUCCUACGGGAGGCAGCAGUGGGGAAUAUUGCACAAUGGGCGCAAGCCUGAUGCAGCCAUGCCGCGUGUAUGAAGAAGGCCUUCGGGUUGUAAAGUACUUUCAGCAGUGAGGAAGGCGGGUACGUUAAUAGCGUGCUCGUUUGACGUUAGCUGCAGAAGAAGCACCGGCUAACUCCGUGCCAGCAGCCGCGGUAAUACGGAGGGGGUUAGCGUUGUUCGGAAUUACUGGGCGUAAAGCGCACGUAGGCGGACUAUUAAGUUAGAGGUGAAAUCCCAGGGCUCAACCCUGGAACUGCCUUUAAUACUGGUAGUCUUGAGUUCGAGAGAGGUGAGUGGAAUUCCGAGUGUAGAGGUGAAAUUCGUAGAUAUUCGGAGGAACACCAGUGGCGAAGGCGGCUCACUGGCUCGAUACUGACGCUGAGGUGCGAAAGUGUGGGGAGCAAACAGGAUUAGAUACCCUGGUAGGUGACAAU
RNAcentral lists this ribosomal RNA (474 nucleotides) under uncultured bacterium. Its description in RNAcentral is "bacterial SSU rRNA". It matches the Rfam family "Bacterial small subunit ribosomal RNA", at positions 335 to 801 of the family's 1533-position model. The record is from RNAcentral.